Molecule: ribosomal RNA, 429 nt
Filed under: Chloroflexota bacterium
Lineage: Bacteria; Bacillati; Chloroflexota
Description: Chloroflexi bacterium partial 16S ribosomal RNA
Rfam family: Bacterial small subunit ribosomal RNA
Source: RNAcentral
UGGGGAAUAUUGCACAAUGGGCGCAAGCCUGAUGCAGCCAUGCCGCGUGUAUGAAGAAGGCCUUCGGGUUGUAAAGUACUUUCAGUCGUGAGGAAGGUGGUAAGGUUAAUAACCUUGGCAAUUGACGUUACCGACAGAAGAAGCACCGGCUAACUCCGUGCCAGCAGCCGCGGUAAUACGGAGGGUGCAAGCGUUAAUCGGAAUUACUGGGCGUAAAGCGCACGCAGGCGGUUGAUUGAGUCAGAUGUGAAAUCCCCGGGCUUAACCCGGGAAUUGCAUCUGAUACUGGUCAGCUAGAGUCUUGUAGAGGGGGGUAGAAUUCCAUGUGUAGCGGUGAAAUGCGUAGAGAUGUGGAGGAAUACCGGUGGCGAAGGCGGCCCCCUGGACAAAGACUGACGCUCAGGUGCGAAAGCGUGGGGAGCAAACAGG